CUAAGUGCGAAGCCCCCCACAAGAUGAAUUUUCCCUUGAGGGUCGUGGUAGAUCACCACGUAGAUAGGCGGCAGGUGUACGUGUGGUAACACAUUAAGCUGAGCCGUACUAAUUACCCGAAUGACUUUCUUCU
This 133-nucleotide ribosomal RNA is filed under the name Calditrichota bacterium. RNAcentral describes it as "Calditrichaeota bacterium (activated sludge metagenome) partial 23S ribosomal RNA". It matches the Rfam family "Bacterial large subunit ribosomal RNA", at positions 2781 to 2925 of the family's 2925-position model. Lineage: Bacteria; Pseudomonadati; Calditrichota. The record is from RNAcentral.